CUACGGGCGGCUCCAGGCGAGAAACCUUAGCAAUGUGCGAAAGCACGACUAGGUUAAUCCGAGUGAUUUCUGCUGAAGAAAUCUUUUGUCAGUUUUAAAACUACCGAUGAAUAAGGGGUGGGCAAGUCUGGUGUCAGCCGCCGCGGUAAUACCAGCACCUCGAGUGGUCAGGAGGUUUAUUGGGCCUAAGGCAUCCGUAGCCGGCUUUGCAAGUCUCCGGUUAAAUCCAGCUGCCUAACAGAUGGGCUGCCGGAGAUACUACAAAGCUGGGGAGCGGGAGAGGUAGACGGUACUUGGUGGGUAGGGGUAAAAUCCUCUGAUCCAUUGAAGACCACCAGUGGCGAAGGCGGUCUACCAGAACGCGUUCGACGGUGAGGGAUGAAAGCUGGGGGAGCAAACCGGAUUAGAUACCCUAGUAGUC
Molecule: ribosomal RNA, 421 nt
Filed under: uncultured archaeon
Lineage: Archaea
Description: partial 16S ribosomal RNA
Rfam family: Archaeal small subunit ribosomal RNA
Source: RNAcentral